GACAGAGGGGGCAAGCGUUGCUCGGAAUCACUGGGCGUAAAGGGCGCGUAGGCGGGAUGGCAAGUCGGUCGUGAAAUCCUUCGGCUCAACCGAAGAACGUCGGCCGAUACUGCCGUUCUUGAGGGAUGCAGAGGAGAUUGGAAUUCCCGGUGUAGCGGUGAAAUGUGUAGAGAUCGGGAGGAACACCGGUGGCGAAGGCGGUUCUCUGGGCAUGAUCUGACGCUGAGGAGCGAAAGUGUGGGGAGCGAACAGG
This 253-nucleotide ribosomal RNA is filed under the name uncultured bacterium. Its description in RNAcentral is "partial 16S ribosomal RNA". It matches the Rfam family "Bacterial small subunit ribosomal RNA", at positions 524 to 776 of the family's 1533-position model. The record is from RNAcentral.